GAUGAACGCUGGCGGCGUGCCUAAUACAUGCAAGUCGAGCGAACAGAUGAGAAGCUUGCUUCUCUGAUGUUAGCGGCGGACGGGUGAGUAACACGUGGGUAACCUACCUAUAAGACUGGGAUAACUCCGGAAAACCGGGGCUAAUACCGGAUAAUAUUUUGAACCGCAUGGUUCAAUAGUGAAAGACGGUUUCGGCUGUCACUUAUAGAUGGACCCGCGCCGUAUUAGCUAGUUGGUAAGGUAAUGGCUUACCAAGGCGACGAUACGUAGCCGACCUGAGAGGGUGAUCGGCCACACUGGAACUGAGACACGGUCCAGACUCCGACGGGAGGCAGCAGUAGGGAAUCUUCCGCAAUGGGCGAAAGCCUGACGGAGCAACGCCGCGUGAGUGAUGAAGGUCUUCGGAUCGUAAAACUCUGUUGUUAGGGAAGAACAAAUUUGUUAGUGACUGAACAAGUCUUGACGGUACCUAACCAGAAAGCCACGGCUAACUACGUGCCAGCAGCCGCGGUAA
Molecule: ribosomal RNA, 514 nt
Filed under: uncultured bacterium
Lineage: Bacteria
Description: partial 16S ribosomal RNA
Rfam family: Bacterial small subunit ribosomal RNA
Source: RNAcentral